UUCAACUUUAUUUUUUAUUAAAUUAUAUUGAUAUUUGUAUUAUUUCCUAUGAGAGGCAGUAUUAUUUGUUAAUAUUGGUCCAUGUGUCUUUGUGUUUAGGUGGUUGGUGAGGCUUUGGAAUGCAGUGAUAGUUCCACGGGUCGAGGAUGCUGUUAUAUCUAGAGUAACAGCCAAACGCUCUCCCUCCCAAAGACGGUCUCCCAACAACAAAGGUCUGAGCCCAGGUCAGAGGGCGGUAGUCAAAGCAGCUCUCAAUAUCCUGCUGAAUAAGGCUGUGCUGCAGGGCUGCCCGCUGCCCAGAACAGAGAUUGACAGGUUCUUACCAGAGUUCCAGGGAGGAUGUUUCCCUCUUUCCACCAUUGGCUCUGCCUACAGGAAAGGUGGCAGAAAAGGACGCGAUAAUGGCGCUUGGAGACGAGCCAAUACCAGUCCAAGGAAGAAAGGAAGCCCCGCCUCUGGGAGGAGCUCUAGCUGCUCUUUAAGAGAAGGUGAGGUGUAACUGAUGGCUUUGAUUUUGUAGUAUGCUUAUGCAGCUCUGCUACAGCAACAAGCUACUGUUGAUAAAAAUUCUCAGAAUAAUCUGUGUUCUUGUAUUCUUAUUAUAUAGGAUCUCUGGCCAAUUCAAGCGCUCACUCAAUGAUAAAUGUCAAUCAUGCAAGACUCAGUGAAGGAGUUGCUGUGGGUCUGUCACUCUGCUCUGAUGAUGAGACGGAUCUCAUCAGAGAACUCCAGACCAUGUGCUCUAGCAAAUCUGAGCCAGACAUAAGCAAGAUUGCUCUUUUUAAAGAGGACUUCAUCAUGCUUCCAGACUCGAUUCCGCCCACUCCUCAGAGGAGUGAUGCCGAGGUCACGCAGCCCCAAACAUGCCCUGUAACAACAGAGUGCGCUGUGGAUAUGCCCCAUCCUCCACCACAGAAGAUCGACAGUAGUCACACUUCUCCUCAGCGAGUGACAAGGCCCAGAUCGCAUCUGCCCAUCCCCAGCAGCAGAGGGGCUCAGCAGGUGAACACCUCUAGCAGCAGUUCCCUUCAGAGUCACAGCAGCAGCCCUAGCAGAGCCUCCACGAGCAGCAGAGCAAGGCAGCCCCCAUCCCAUAACAACAGAAACAACUUCUCACAAGACGACAUCUGGUUCCUGGACCCCAGCUGUAAUGAAAACUACAGUAACCGUUGAUAGACACCUCCCACUGCCCUCCCUUUGCCCUCAGUCUUUUAUGUUGUGAAGUUUGGUUACUGGCAGCAUUUUAGUAUUUGUACAUGUUGUCCAUACUUGUUACACUAUAUUACAUUGUGUACUUUGGGACCAUAGUUUUAAUAUAUUCAACUGUUUAAGUAAAGAACUCUGAGGAAAAAAAAGUACGAUGAGCUAACAGGAGAAAGACUGCUUGAACGUUUUACAAUUUGCCUUUUAGGUCAAAUGUUUUGGAUCAAAGUAAGAGCUGGUAGUGUUUUUGCUCUUUAGUAUUUACAAUCAAUCAUGUUUUAUGUUUAAAUAAGUGAAAGUUUUAAAAACUGUCGAAAAUCAGGGUUUUACCAAAUAUGUGUAAAUAAGAACUGGGAACUUAAAUGUUGUAUAGAUUGGUGUGUGCGUGUGCGUGCGUGUGUGUGUGUGAUACUGCGCUUGUACAUUGGAGGACUUUUGAAGGGAAAAUGAGAAGUGUAUAUAUUGUUUGUAUUAUUAAAUUUUGGUUCAUAUUUUUUCACUCGUUUCCAAAUGAACUGAAUGUGGCAAUAAGUACCGCCAUUGCGAUCACAGGAUAUUUUGUUUUUGUCCAUUAAGCCAUAAUUGGUAUUUUCAAUUACUCUCAUGCGUGCUCAGUGACUGGCUUGAACUUUGACUUUGUGAAACCCAACUAUGAAAUCGGAAGCGGCGCGCAUUAACUUUUCGUUUGUCUUCUAUAUUGAACAUUUAGGAUAAACAAGUAUUAUUUUAAAGUCAGUAUUGUUCAUACUGAAGAGAUUAUAGUCGACCUCUGAUGUUUAAAUGUAUUAUAGUUGUCGGAUGAGGUUCAGAGAAGUUGUCCUGUUUCCUCCAAGCACAACAAUUAAAAAUGCACUAUCCUAGACAUCACCUCAGCGCUUGGCUUUUCUUUCUCCACACAGC
This 2103-nucleotide long non-coding RNA is filed under the name Sinocyclocheilus grahami. Its description in RNAcentral is "lncRNA (ENSSGRG00000051554.1)". The record is from RNAcentral. Lineage: Eukaryota; Metazoa; Chordata; Actinopteri; Cypriniformes; Cyprinidae.